RNAcentral lists this ribosomal RNA (254 nucleotides) under uncultured bacterium. Its description in RNAcentral is "partial 16S ribosomal RNA". It matches the Rfam family "Bacterial small subunit ribosomal RNA", at positions 524 to 776 of the family's 1533-position model. The record is from RNAcentral.
UACGGGGGGAGCAAGCGUUGUUCGGAUUUACUGGGCGUAAAGGGCGCGUAGGCGGCCACCGCAAGUCGACUGUGAAAUCUCCGGGCUUAACUCGGAAAGGUCAGCCGAUACUGCGGGGCUAGAGUGCAGAAGGGGCAACUGGAAUUCUCGGUGUAGCGGUGAAAUGCGUAGAUAUCGAGAGGAACACCGGUGGCGAAAGCGGCUCACUGGAUCUCUUCUGACGCUGAGGCACGAAAGCUAGGGUAGCGAACGGG